Small nucleolar RNA from Elaeis guineensis (African oil palm), 79 nucleotides. RefSeq annotates it as small nucleolar RNA snoR53Y. The record is from RefSeq and is a predicted model, not a curated record. NCBI's taxonomy places the organism in Eukaryota, Viridiplantae, Streptophyta, Magnoliopsida, Arecales, Arecaceae.
AUUCCCUAUGAUGUUUGUCUGAACCAUGCUAAUGCUGAUGUGCAUUGAUGAACUCAUUGAAUUUUAUCCUGAGGGAAUC